UUAAUAUCCAGUACUGCAUUAUUGUUGUUUUUCUAAGUGCUAGCAGCAAUGUGCUUACAACUGUUUCAUUAGUAUCUGUCACAUUUUGAGUACGGCUGGGUAUUUUGGGCCAUUCCACAUCUGUUCACAGGUUCCCUGGCGCUGUCUGGCUAAGGGUGUUGGCAUCUCCGGCCCCCUGUGGGUUGUGGUCCUAUCCGGGGGCAGCAACACUCACUGCACACGCUCUCCGUCCUGUGCUCCGAAGACGCACGGACGGAUGGGCGGGCAGUGCGUGUCGAUGUCACGCCUCCAUCACCUGACACGGAACUAGGUCUCCGUGCGGUGUAUUGGUAUACCAUCCACGAGGGGUUACAGGAGUCAAACGGCGCCGCAUCAUUGGGCGGUUACCCCGCACCAAUGCAGACGCCUCCCUUCUCCUCCCCCUCGUAUGCGUGUCUCUGGGCGGGUAACAUUGGGGGGGUGGUCCCUAUAAGAGGGUGUAACCUAUGGCAGGUACAGGCAUUUGGCUCUUCACAUGUCAUCACUCCAUGCAGCACACUCGGAACUCACAGCCAUCAUUCCUUACCGACCACAGUGCAUUCAAUACACCAUGCCUCAUGCCUGUGCCACCUGGGUGCGCUCCCCUGACGGGCCCUGCACCCCUCAUUCUCCAGCCCUAGUCCCCGGCAGUGACCACCCCAAUCCUGGGGUCCAUCCGGAGCUUCACUCUAGUGCCAGCGGCAAUCGGCAACCUGAUAACCAAUGUAAUGCAUGCCUGCUCCUGAUGAGCGACCAACAGUCGCGAAACGCGUAGAGCUCUAUACCUCAUGCAUUAAUGUAUUAUCACUGCAGUGUCAUGUGAUGUAAUUUCCAUUUUAAUAUGUGAUAUCUAUUUUAUGUCUCAAUAAUAUAGUACAGCUCGCUGUACUCAUUGCAUUUAUAUAUUUGGGUCACUGCCCACGUACCUUGUCCCCCAACUAAUCUGUGAAACAUAUAUGUUUAUCUAUUUCUUCAAUAGUGCAAUAUAGUCAUGGACGGUGCAUUAUGUGAAAGUAAUAAAAUAUUUA
Molecule: long non-coding RNA, 1046 nt
Organism: Rana temporaria (common frog)
Lineage: Eukaryota; Metazoa; Chordata; Amphibia; Anura; Ranidae
Exons: 3
Source: RefSeq, a predicted model, not a curated record